Molecule: ribosomal RNA, 376 nt
Filed under: uncultured bacterium
Lineage: Bacteria
Description: bacterial SSU rRNA
Rfam family: Bacterial small subunit ribosomal RNA
Source: RNAcentral
GACGAACCGUCCAAACGUUAUUCGGAAUUACUGGGCUUAAAGGGUGCGUAGGCGGCGCGGAAAGUAGGGUGUGAAAUCCCUCGGCUUAACCGAGGAAUGGCGCUCUAAACUACCGUGCUUGAGGAAGAUAGAGGAGAGCGGAACUUAGGGUGGAGCGGUGAAAUGCGUUGAUAUCCUAAGGAACACCGGUGGCGAAGGCGGCUCUCUGGAUCUUUUCUGACGCUGAGGCACGAAAGCUAGGGGAGCGAACGGGAUUAGAUACCCCGGUAGUCCUAGCUGUAAACGAUGAGCACUGGAUCGGAGGGACCCUCAUAUCCUUCUGGUCGAACCGAAAGAGUUAAGUGCUCCGCCUGGGGAGUAUGGUCGCAAGGCUGAA